GAAAAGGAAAAAAGAAGAAGAAACUAUGGUGUUCAAAUGGAUAGAAUUGAAGCUGAGAUAUUCAAAAAAUAAGUUUAUAUAAAAAAAAAAUAGAUACUAAAUAUGCAUUCUCCUUUUCCAAUCCGAUAUCAAAUUUCUCAGAACACCGACACACAGCCACAAUGAAAUGCAGACAGCUGCCGCUUAAUUAACCAACGAAGCUGGUGUAGAAAUAAAACCUUUGUAAUAGGAGCGGCAGUGUCCUGAUUGCAUCUAUUUUUGGGUUGUUUCAAGAUAAAAGAGCCUGCAAAAAGAGAGAGGGUUAAUUUGUACACUUCAAGUCAUGCUUGUGCCCUGAACAUGUAGAUCCUCCAUGCACAGUUUACAAGGGAGAAAUAAUGCUAUAAACAAGAACCACAUGCAUUAAAACCCACAUCAAAUGCUACUCUCUCCAAACCACUUGAAAUUCGAAAGCAAGUUCACUCUAAAUAAAAAAAUAUAUUGUAGCUCAACUGGUCAUGUUUUAGAUUUGCUCUCUAAAAGUUAUCAGUUCAAGUCUGAUAAAUCUCAGGGCCAUUGAAGACUUACAUGGUCGUUAACUUCAGGACCCGUGGGAUUAGUCGAGGUAAAUGCAAGCUGACCCAAACACCCACGUUAAUAAAAAAAACAAAAAAAAAAAAACAUCUUAUCAACAUCAUGAUGCCAGAUUUUCUUGAAUUAACACACCUGUAAUCAGCACAGAUGGAUGGCAUUCAAAAGCCCUCCUCCUCCAGAAGGGGACUAGGACCAGUCAAGCUUAUGAUGCCUUUUUAUGGCUCAUCUAACUGGUCCUGCUAGUAAAACCAUUAUCCAUAGUUAUUGAUCCAUCAGGUUUUGUAGUGAUACAGAGAAACCAUAGCCAAUUCUGGCAGAAGUAUUGUUGACUUACAAGAAUUAGAGAGAGGCACCAACCUGGACAUCUGAAGUCCAAAGUGCUGUCCUUGCACGAUUCUUCUCCCAAAGUGCAGAUCUAGCUUGGCAAUGGCUUUCUCAAAUGCCUGCACAAAAACAUAGCAAGGAAAACUGAAAGGAUCUUGUAACAUAUAUUCGUGAAUGCUAUGACUAUAUAACCUUAAGCAACUCUGGUUGGCAUAUAAAAAAAAAGUAGGACCUUGGUCAUUUCUAAAAGACAACGGAAGAGAAAUGGUAAACAGCUGAAACCAAACAUUGAGACAGGCAUUGAUGGUGAAGAAAUGCUAGGAACACUUCAGUAACUAAUUUGAGUUUCAGUUAAGCAUUGUGUCUGUGUACACGAGCAAGGACAAAUAGUGCAGCAAACCACAUCAUUAAGCCUGGGCAAUUUAAACUACUUCGAAAGGUUUACUAUAGUCUUAAACCUUUUAAGUUUAUCCAUGCAUCAAUGAACACUCUGAUAUAGUCUACUAGAUUUUGAGGAGCAUUUGCCCAUUCAGAACUUCCAGUUCAGUUUUUUAUGCACGGUAACAAAUGCUGAGAUGAGAAACAAACAUCAUGAAGACAUUCCUUACAAUAACUUAUUCUACUAUCAACUAUAUCUUGAUUUGGCUUUAAAGGACAGCCAAUCAAUAGCUAAAUCUGUUAGAUCAACAUAUAAACAACCAGUGACGGAUAAUAGGUUUG
This 1617-nucleotide long non-coding RNA is filed under the name Populus trichocarpa (black cottonwood). RNAcentral describes it as "long non-coding RNA (PTRI_LNC001771)". Lineage: Eukaryota; Viridiplantae; Streptophyta; Magnoliopsida; Malpighiales; Salicaceae. The record is from RNAcentral.